AUGUCGAGGAGGGCGGUGAACCCCGGCCGCCGGGCCUCGGACGGGGGCCUGCCCACCGUCGCCAGCCUGCUCCACCACAAGUCGCGCUCGCCCUCCGUGCUCACCAUGGCACUGCUCGCCCUGGGAGUGAUUAUUCUCAUCGUCUACUUCAACAGCGGCUCAGGUGGGUUGCAAAUUCCCAGCUUCGGUGUAACUGUUACGAGCAGAGAAGCUGUGAGCAGAGCUGAAGGUUCUUGCACAUCAGAAGUUAUCGAGGCACUUCCUUAUCUUAAAAAGGCGUAUGGCAGUGCUAUGCAGAAGGUUCUCCAUGUAGGCCCAGAUAGUUGUACAGUAGUUUCUAACUUGUUGAAAGAAGGGAAGGAAGCAUGGGGAGUGGAGCCUUAUGAUUUGGACGAUGCUGAUAGUAGCUGCAAAAGCCUUGUGCGGAAGGGCUUUGUCCGUUUGUCUGAUAUCAAGUUCUCUCUUCCAUACCGCCCAGAUUCUUUUAACCUUGUUGUUGUGUCAGAUGCUUUGGAUUAUCUGACCCCAAGGUAUCUGAACAAAACACUUCCUGAUUUAGCAAGGGUCUCCACCGAUGGCCUUGUUAUCUUUACUGGCAAUCCAGGACAGCAGAAGGCUAAAGUUUCUGAGCUACCAAAAUUUGGAAGACCGGCAAAGUUGCGGAGUAAUUCAUGGUGGACGCGCUACUUUAUCCAGACAGGCUUGACAGAGAACGAAGGACCGUUGAAGAAGUUUGAGCAGGCAGCUUCUAAGGGCAACUACGAACCGGACUGUCAAAUCUUCCACCUCAGCUCAUAG
Molecule: ribosomal RNA, 798 nt
Filed under: Triticum aestivum (bread wheat)
Lineage: Eukaryota; Viridiplantae; Streptophyta; Magnoliopsida; Poales; Poaceae
Description: partial small subunit ribosomal RNA
Source: RNAcentral